UACGUAGGUGUCAAGCGUUGUCCGGAAUUAUUGGGCGUAAAGCGCGCGCAGGCGGUCCUUUAAGUCUGAGGUGAAAGCCCACGGCUCAACCGUGGAGGGUCAUUGGAAACUGAGGGACUUGAGUGCAGAAGAGGAAAGUGGAAUUCCACGUGUAGCGGUGGAAUGCGUAGAGAUGUGGAGGAACACCAGUGGCGAAGGCGUCUUUCUGGUCCGUAACUGACGCUGAGGCGCGAAAGCGUGGGGAGCAAACAGG
Molecule: unclassified non-coding RNA, 253 nt
Filed under: uncultured Caryophanales bacterium
Lineage: Bacteria; Bacillati; Bacillota; Bacilli; Caryophanales
Description: uncultured Bacillales bacterium contains 16S-23S intergenic spacer region
Rfam family: Bacterial small subunit ribosomal RNA
Source: RNAcentral